AGUGCUACCGGUUGCAAUGAAACAUAAACAGUUUCCGAGUGCAAAUAGUCUGCGGAAUGUGUUGUGUCUGGAGCCCUCUUGCUCUCCGUCCCUCCUUUCUCCAACCGAUGUACCCAAUUCCCCGGAAAAAGCCGCUCGAGAGGUCAAAGCUAAGCGUGUGGCUGCCGCCAUCUUGAGUCCGUUGAGGCAAAUAGAAGGGGAAGAGAGCCACAGCGAGAGCCGACGCCAUUUGCAUUGGCAGUCGAGUGUUAGCAACCGUCGAUCGAGAAUCGCCUCUCGGACAAUCGGGCGGUCGUAUCAGCCACGUGAUUCGUGUGACAGGAAUGUACCAGUUCUCGACGCCGAGUGACACGAGUAACCUCCUCGCUGCGCUCCAAGCUCAACAGCCGAAUGCCCAACAGCCAAUGCACCUAAUGUACAAUAAAAUAAAUAGGCGGCCGGAGUGAACGAGAGGAGGUGGAGGAAUGAAUAAACAAAAAAAGGUACAAUACAGUGUGUGAGAGCUGAAAGCAUUUGUGUUGAGUUCAGUGCAUCGGCUGCCAUUUUCCAAAGUUGAAAUUCGCCAACGCAAUCUCUGUUGUUUAUUCAAUUGCACUAAUAUCGGGAGUGCAGCGAAAAACAAAUAGUUGAAAAAGUUCAUCAAUCAUUGGCUGCCAUUUAAACGCCAUUUAUUUUUCUUUUUUGUUUAGUUUAUUUUUUCUUUCUCUUGUUAAGUUCGGUGUUGUUUACGCGGCGAAUACAGUGUACUUGGAAUCAUAACCGGGAAGUAAUAACUGUUAUAGUGAGUGAGUGAGUGAGUGAGUGUUUGUGCAACAGUGAUACAUCUGGGUCCUGACGUGUCAUCUCAACGAGGCGGGAAAGCUGCGUUUGAAACUGGACCGCCGAACAAGGUAUGUCAACAACAGAGAUACAGUACAUUUUUCGGUAAAUUCAGUGUGAGUGUGAUGGGGAGUUAUUUGGACGCGUGCAGAGAGAGAGAGAGAGAGAAAGAGACGCUGAUUGGUUUUACAUUUGUGCUUUCAACGUAAAGGUUUGUCAUGCAUGAAAUUUAGAUUUUUGACAUUAUUAAUUAGCGCUACAAUGGCGUCUGAAAGCUCAUUGCAUAAAACACCAUUUAAAAUUCAUUUCAAUACGAGCCAACGUGAAACACUUUCGUGCGGCCGUUGAAUCAAUUAGGAAACACGAGUCCGGAUGAUGGAUUACUGAUAAUUAAAUUCACUCCAUGAUAUCGACUCUCAAUCCUCAGAUACCCCAAUGUCAGAACCCCUCUGACAAUAAUAUCCAGCUUUAUCCUCACGAAGAAAAUUGUUCAAUUGUUUUCUCCUCAUUUCUCUCAAUUCAAUCAAUUUCUUUUGUUUCGUACCAUCAUCCGGACAAUCCCACCGAAUCAAUCCCCAUUUCUGUACGUAUCCACCGUAUCCAAAGGUGUUGUAAGACGAAGACGAAUCAUUUCACCGUGUGACGUGACACGUGGGAUAAUCGGUCAUGCCCAGCGGGGUUGAAACGCUUUGGAGAAUAGUAGCGUCAGGUGUCUCAUCUCCGUUCGGUGUUGAACCGAUAGGAUGGGGUCAGCCUAUACAUAGACUAUGUAUUUCAGGACUCUGGGGUUCACUGAGAACAAGUAAUCCAAAGUGCUGAAAAAAGGAUUAUAAAGAGAAAAAAAAAUUAGGGAAUGGGAAAUUUCACUCGAUCCUUAACUUUUUUAUCUCUCUCUCUCUCUCUCUCUCUCUCUCUCUCUCACUCUCCGGGAAAACAAUUAAUCGUGAACGCUCAUCAAAGGGAGAAUACCGUCAUCACCACCAUCUACAAACCACUGGGAAUAAGGUGGUAUGAGGGUAGAUAGGGAAUGUUCUCUGACAAGACGCUAUGGUUUCUCACAAUUAGACGUUGAAUAUGGAGAUUACACGUAGGGAUAGGGUACCAACGCCCCCGAGUAUUAAGCUCCAGCAUUUCUCUCACUUCUAUAUUUUCCAUCUUUCUCCUUCACAUCGUACAUUGGACGAGCCGUUUAUAUCCGUUUAUGAUAUUCCCUUUGUGUGCCAGUGCCGUUUCUCUCUGAGCAUAUUUCACGAGGUAAUUAUUCGCACCUGUAUUGUCGAACUAGAUCAUGAAUGACGGUGGGAUGAAGAAUUCAUAAAGUUAUAGCGGAAUUUUGUCAGCGAAAAAGUUGAAGCUUUUCCUGUAGAAAAUUGAAUUAGUUUAUCUAAUUGUUGCUUCUUUGUUUUGAAAUUUCUCGGGGGACAUUGAUUUGAUUACUGAGUUGAUGAGAGAAUUAACUCCAUGAUCGUUAAGAAUGUCGGGUUGUUAAAUGCGAAAAUUGAGGUGACUUUCUAUGUUUGAUGUUUCCAAUCAUUUAUCUGUCAGUGACAGAACUCAUGUACCCACUAUGGCCGGUUUUUAAUUCAAUAGUAUGUAAGCUUACAUUGUUGAAUAUACAUCGUGAAUAGAAGGGAAAUGAAGGAUUCGUAUUGUUGUAUUCCAAUUGUUCAUGUAGAAAAUUGGAUUAUUUUUAUCAAAUUGCAUUUCUGAGUGCUGGAAUUUUACCCGGGUAAAUUAAUGCAAUCAUUGGGUUAUUGGGAAAGUUAAUUGAAUGACUAUGAUGAAUAUUGAACAAUUAGCUGGAAAAAUUGGGAUUAUUUAUUCUGCUAGAAUGUUCCAAUCAUCAUCGAGGUACCAAGGACCAAUAGUCUAUGCAUUAAUUCAUCAUACGAGAUCCUUAGGGCCCGAUGGAGUACCUGUGCUGGACUUUAAAAUAAUUGUAGACUGUUUUGCUUCAAGGGCAUAUGCCUUUAGCCCUACUCACCAGAUUUUCAAGUGUCGAGAUAAUGGAUUUAAAGACAAAAUCUGUGAAUGAAAGACAAGUCUUUGACACAAAGCCCCGUUGACAAAAAAUCGUCGUCGGCACCUUUGAUACACCUGGUGUAUUCCUCUCACUGUCCUUUAUUCCUUUCUCCUCUUGUACUCCAGCCUUACAAAAAUAUAAAACCCCCAUGAGAGCCAAUUUUUUUUAACUCUCCCCCGGGGGGAUGAAGAGUUAAAUACCCAGAAUAUACUCUUUUUUAACCCAAAAAAAAUAUGGAGU
This is an RNA transcript of Diachasmimorpha longicaudata, 3082 nucleotides long. RefSeq lists it as uncharacterized. The record is from RefSeq and is a predicted model, not a curated record. NCBI's taxonomy places the organism in Eukaryota, Metazoa, Arthropoda, Insecta, Hymenoptera, Braconidae. The transcript is spliced from 4 exons.